This 66-nucleotide transfer RNA is filed under the name Phyllopteryx taeniolatus (common seadragon). RNAcentral describes it as "tRNA-Cys". Lineage: Eukaryota; Metazoa; Chordata; Actinopteri; Syngnathiformes; Syngnathidae. The record is from RNAcentral.
AGCCCCGAGGUGUUUGACACGUAAGAUUGCAAAUCUUAAAUAGCAUAUUAACGUUUGCCGGGGCUU